UUUAUCAAAAACAUCGCCUCUUGCCUACAUAAGUAUAAGAGGUCCCGCCUGCCCUGUGAUAUUAUUUUAACGGCCGCGGUAUUUUGACCGUGCGAAGGUAGCGUAAUCACUUGUCUUUUAAUUAAAGACCCGUAUGAAAGGCACCACGAGAGUUUAUCUGUCUCUAUUUUCCAAUCAAUGAAAUUGAUCUUCUCGUGCAGAAGCGAGAAUAAUAACAUAAGACGAGAAGACCCUAUGGAGCUUUAAACACUUAAGUUAAUUAUUUCAAUAUAGUCAUACCCAAGGGAACAUAAACACCGCAUAAUAAAUUUAACUUAACUUGUUUUUGGUUGGGGCGACCAAGGGGAAAAACUAAACCCCCUCAUCGACUGAGUAUUUAUAUACUUAAAAAUUAGAAUUACAAUUCUAAUUAAUAGAAUAUCUACCGAACAAUGACCCAGGACCCAUAAUCCUGAUCAAUGAACCAAGUUACCCUAGGGAUAACAGCGCAAUCCUUUCUUAGAGUCCCCAUCGCCGAAAGGGUUUACGACCUCGAUGUUGGAUCAGGACAUCCUAAUGGUGCAACCGCUAUUAAGGGUUCGUUUG
RNAcentral lists this ribosomal RNA (585 nucleotides) under Zapteryx brevirostris. RNAcentral describes it as "partial 16S ribosomal RNA". It matches the Rfam family "Bacterial large subunit ribosomal RNA", at positions 1803 to 2579 of the family's 2925-position model. The record is from RNAcentral. Lineage: Eukaryota; Metazoa; Chordata; Chondrichthyes; Rhinopristiformes; Rhinobatidae.